Molecule: long non-coding RNA, 1701 nt
Filed under: Homo sapiens (human)
Lineage: Eukaryota; Metazoa; Chordata; Mammalia; Primates; Hominidae
Description: non-protein coding lnc-POLD4-1:9
Source: RNAcentral
UCUCUCUCAGCAGCUGUCUUUCUCGCGCCCACUGGCCGGUCUCUCCUCUUCCCCGCAGUUGCCUCCUUCUCUGCCUGCCUGGGUGGCCGCCAUGGGCCGGAAGCGGCUCAUCACUGAUUCCUACCCGGUUGUGAAGAGGAGGGAGGGGCCCGCUGGGCACAGCAAGGGGGAGCUGGCACCCGAGCUAGGGGAGGAGCCCCAGCCCCGCGACGAGGAGGAAGCGGAGCUGGAGCUGCUGAGGCAGUUUGACCUGGCCUGGCAGUACGGGCCCUGCACCGGUGAGAACCCACCCAGCCCCACGGAGGCGCCUCUCCCAGCCAGUCACCCACACGUCUCUGAAGUCACCCAAGCGCUUGCGUGACUCUGACCCUCAGGAACUGUCUCCCCCCAACACACACAUUCUCCAGCUCAGACUCUACCCCACCCCCCACAAGUCUCCAGAGUCUUCUUCCCACCCUGGCAGGGAUCACACGGCUGCAGCGCUGGUGUCGGGCCAAGCAGAUGGGCUUGGAGCCUCCCCCAGAGGUGUGGCAGGUGCUGAAGACCCACCCCGGAGACCCCCGCUUCCAGUGCAGGUCAGAGACAGGCCGGGAGGGCUUUCAGGGGAGCCAGGGCCUUCUCCAGGCACUGUCACCCUGCUGUCCUGACCUGAGGGAGAAAUGGAUGGAGGGUUGGAAGGCCUUGCUGAACAGGCAAGAAGAUUCUAUGAGGUGCCUGGCUCAGGAGGACACGCCACUAUAAUAAUUCUUUUUUUUUGAGACAGAGUCUUGCUCUGUUGCCCAGGCUGGAGUGCAGUGGCGCGAUCUCGGCUCACUGCAAACUCCGCCUCUCGGGUUCACGCCAUUCUCCUGUCUCAGCCUCCCAAGUAGCUGGGACUACAGGCGCCCGCCAACACGCCCGGCUAAUUUUUUCUAUUUUUAGUAGAGACAGGGUUUCACCGUGUUAGCCAGGAUGGUCUUGAUCUCCUGACCUCGUGAUCCCACCCACCUCAGCCUCCCAAAGUGCUGGGAUUACAGGCGUGAGCCACCACACCCGGCCAAUAAUUCUUACCUCUACAAGCUAGUGGGGGGCAAAGGUACACCCAGGACCCAAGGAACUAUCUAUUUAGAACUGAGGGGUUUCCCAAGGACUAUGGGCAUGGCCAAGAAUAAGCUGGUGAAAUCAGAUCCAGGGACUCAACAACUGAUUCUCUGUUUCUCUCUCUCUCUCUCUGGGGUAUCCCUCCCUCCCACCCCAUCUUCCACAGUCUCUGGCAUCUCUAUCCCCUAUGAGGCACCACGUAAGACCUCCUGCCCUUAGCUCUCUUGCUCACCACCCAAGAACCUCAGGACAGAAGCGAGAGCCCAUUGCUCCUGCUCAGCUCAGCCCGGCUGCGGAGGAACCCUUGGCAGGCAGAACCUGGAGGUGUCAGAGGCUCAACUCCUCCAUCUAACCAGCAGGCUCCCAGAGUCCCCGGAAGAGCCUGCGCAGCUGAAGCAGAGUGCUUCUAGAUGGAGAGUGGUCACUGGGGAAAAGGACCUGGCCAUCACCUUCCAAUACCUGCUGCCUGUCUCCCUGACCCAUGAUCUGGCAAGUUAGGCACAGUCAGACAUGGACAGUUGAUCCAUGAGGAAAAGAUGCUCUCCCACCUAAGGCCAGGAAUCUGAGAGCAGGACUGGCUGAGCUCCCAGGGCAAGGGGUUCACUAAUGCUUAUCAAUAAA